CUCCAGAGUUUUUGAUCAUGGCUCAGGAUGAACGCUGGCGGUCUGCUUAACACAUGCAAGUCGAACGGAAGUAGCAAUACUUUAGUGGCGGACGGGUGAGUAACACGUAAGAAUCUGCCUCCAGGACGGGAAAAACAGUUGGAAACGACUGCUAAUUCCGGAUGAGCCGAAAGGUAAAAAGAAAUUCGCCUGGAGAUGAGCUUGCGGCUGAUUAGCUAGUUGGUAGGGUAAGAGCUUACCAAGGCGACGAUCAGUAGCUGGUCUGAGAGGAUGAGCAGCCACACUGGGACUGAGACACGGCCCAGACUCUUACGGGAGGCAGCAGUGGGGAAUUUUCCGCAAUGGGCGAAACCCUGACGGAGCAAGACCGCGUGGGGGAGGAAGGUUCUUGGAUUGUCAACCCCUUUUCUCAGGGAAGAAGUUCUGACGGUACUUGAGGAAUCAGCAUCGGCUAACUCCGUGCCAGCAGCCGCGGUAAUACGGAGGAUGCAAGCGUUAUCCGGAAUGAUUGGGCGUAAAGAGUCCGUAGGUGGCGAGUCAAGUCGAUUGUCAAAGAGCGAGGCUUAACUUCGUGAAGGCAGUGGAAACUGACUAGCUAGAGAGCAGUAGGGGCAGAAGGAAUUCCUGGUGUAGCGGUGAAAUGCGUAGAGAUCAGGAAGAACACCGGUGGCGAAAGCGUUCUGCUGGGCUGCGACUGACACUGAGGGACGAAAGCUAGGGGAGCGAAUGGGAUUAGAUACCCCAGUAGUCCUAGCCGUAAACGAUGGAUACUAGGUGUUGUGAGUAUCGACCCUCACAGUGCCGAAGCCAACGCAUUAAGUAUCCCGCCUGGGGAGUACGCACGCAAGUGUGAAACUCAAAGGAAUUGACGGGGGCCCGCACAAGCGGUGGAGUAUGUGGUUUAAUUCGAUGCAACGCGAAGAACCUUACCAGGGUUUGACAUGUCCGGAAUCUCUCUGAAAGGAGAGAGUGCCUUCGGGAGCCGGAACACAGGUGCUGCAUGGCUGUCGUCAGCUCGUGUCGUGAGAUGUUGGGUUAAGUCCCGCAACGAGCGCAACCCUCGUCGUUAGUUGCCAGCAAGAAAGAUGGGAACUCUAGCGAGACUGCCGGUGACAAACCGGAGGAAGGUGGGGAUGACGUCAAGUCAGCAUGGCCCUUACAUCCUGGGCGACACACGUACUACAAUGCUAGGGACAAAGAGCAGCGACUUCGCGAGGAGAAGCGAAUCUCGAAAACCCUGGCUCAGUUCAGAUUGCUCUCUGCAACUCGAAGAGCAUGAAGGAGGAAUCGCUAGUAAUCGCAGGUCAGCAUACUGCGGUGAAUCCGUUCCCGGGCCUUGUACACACCGCCCGUCACACCAUGGAAGUUUGCCACGCCCGAAGUCAUUACUCUAACCAUUCGUGGAGGAGGGUGCCGAAGGCAGGGCUGAUGACUGGGGUGAAGUCGUAAC
This 1450-nucleotide ribosomal RNA is filed under the name Planktothrix sp. AK2. RNAcentral describes it as "bacterial SSU rRNA". It matches the Rfam family "Bacterial small subunit ribosomal RNA". Lineage: Bacteria; Bacillati; Cyanobacteriota; Cyanophyceae; Oscillatoriales; Microcoleaceae. The record is from RNAcentral.